UGGUUGCUGCGUCCGGCGCAUAGUCCAAAAAUUCGGCAGCCCCAUGCAUGCGUAAUAUGCAUCAUGUAUGGGAGGGAAGAAGAAGAAAAUAGCGAAAAGUUGAAAUCCGAACCCUUGCACUGGUAUCACAUCCCACGAAAAGUCCCGACGACAACUUCCGCCCGUACAGCGCCGAGGGGGGACACGCAAACGCAGCCUCUAGCUGACUUGGAUGACAACUUCCGCCCGUACAGCACCGGGGGACACACACAACCGCAGCCUCGAUGACUUGGACGUCAACUUCCGCCCGUACAAGGGUGAGGGGAGGACACACACAACCGCAGCCUCUAGCUGACUUGGACGUCAAAAGAUUCUACGAAAGUCACGACUUCCAGUUUCCGUGGCUGCCGCGGCCGAAGCGCGUCCGGGAAAGAAAGGAGGCGGCGGUGGCGGCGGUGACAGGCCUUGAAGCUGUAAACAACAGGAACAGGCUGUUCUGAAAACAUCCCCGAGGACACCUAAAUGAUGGACGCUUUUGACCUCCCUCCCUCCUUAUCGACACCUGGAGUCGAACUUUUGCUUGCAUGCAGAACGGCCCCAGGCCUAUGAACACUACAUCAACACACCCAAGACAAUGGGCAUAUACACACACACACCCUCCCCACCCCACCGCUUGAAUACCCUCGGGGUGAUGGACGGCUGGCAGCGCUUCAUAGCACCAGUCGACCUCCGGGGCCCCAACACCCCGCCCUCUUUUGCAAAUUUUUGUGAUAAUGUGUAACAUGUUCAUGUGUGCAUGGCAUUGAGGUUUCUUUCCCACUCCAGACUAGGCCCCCUGAGGAGCCCAGUCUAGAUUGUAUUUUUUUACUAAUCUUCUUCCACAGCGUUUUACCUUUUUUUCAUCUUUGGCGACCCAUCAGCGUUUCUGUUCUGUAACCCUGUACACUGUUUGUUUGUCAAAUCUUGAAUGGGUUUGUCCUGAAAACAUAGUUUUGUUGUACGUGUGCAAUGAUAAUAAAGUCCUAUCCUAUCCUC
Nerophis ophidion (straightnose pipefish) is the source of this 1014-nucleotide long non-coding RNA. RefSeq lists it as uncharacterized. The transcript is spliced from 2 exons. The record is from RefSeq and is a predicted model, not a curated record. NCBI's taxonomy places the organism in Eukaryota, Metazoa, Chordata, Actinopteri, Syngnathiformes, Syngnathidae.